GCUGCCGGAUGCCCCUGUGUCUGACUUCUCUGACCGAGGCUCUCUCCAGAUGACUGUUAGCAGCUGAAACACAAAGUGGAACCUUGUCCUUUCUCUGGUUUUACUGAAAAUGGACAUUCUCCCCUGCCAAGAAUUUUCUUGCAAACACUCUGCAAUAAAUACUCAGGAGUCUACAAAGCUACCGCUGGUCUUACUUUGUCUGAAAAUCUGCCUAACCCAUAUUGUGAACCAUUUUUGUCUGAUUUUCAAAGCACCAGCAGAGUUUGAAAGAACAAGGUUGGAUACAAACAUGAAAAGCAGUUUUGGGAACUGAAGGAACUAGGUUGUGAUGCACGCUCUUGCUCCUCCUCCGCGUGCCCCAGUGCGGGCGAGGGAAGCGAUCCGGCCGCCGCAGCACACAGGAGCUGGUGGGCCGUGCCGGGGGCUGGCUCGCAGGCUCCCGGGUGUGACCCCGAUGCCCACACAGAAGCAGCCUGCCACGGGCACUGCCGCUAGGAGACCGCAGAGCAGCUGUCUCCGGCUUUCCCUAUUUAUCAACACUCGCAUUUGCUAAGAUGGUCCCACAUGACAACUGCAACUCCGAACUGGGAAGUACAGCUGCCAAGGCACGCCGAGCAACGGAAGGAAAGAGAAAGGGGCAGCUCACGCUCUAGAUGAAGGACAGCGUUUGUACAUCACUUUUUCAAAGAAGAAAGAAGGGACUGGAACAAGAUGUAAUUAAGAUGCGUUCUGCUGUGAGAGACUUUAAUAGGACCACCAGAGACUGUAUCUUCCUACCAUGGUGAUUCUGCAGGAAAAGCAAAGGACAAGGUCUCGGCUCAUCAACUCUGGGCUGCUAUAUGAUGCAAGACCACAGGUCCAGGUAUUCCCCUGGCGGCCAAGUUCAUUCGGUACUUCUAAAUGUUCCAUCUGGCUGCUUACCCAAAGAGAACAACAAUGUCUCUCUAGCGGUCAGGAGGUCCCACUUCACGGCUUCUCCUGUUCUCUGCCAGAGAACCUGUGCAGUCAGUGCUAGGCUGGAGAAAUCUCUCCUUUUCGCCUAGAGAGUAUCUCACUGACUCAAAACAGUACUACACAAAAAUGAACGAGGAAGAUGGAUGGACGGCCAUGCUUCCAGAAUCUCCUGUGAUUAUGACUUCCUUACAGUCUUCAAGGCUCCCCUUUGCCGAACGGUACGGGGCAAAGCCCUUCACGAUCUGCCUCCUGCCCACCUCUCCAGGUUCAUCUCCGACCCCUCUCCUCCUACGUUACUGUCUCACAGGCUGCCCCAGGCUGUGCCUACCCAUGUUAACGCCCUGCCUGGAAUGUCCUCGGCUGUCCUCCUGGCGGACUGACCCAGUCUUUAAGUGUCACUCUUGGAAAUCUUUCCUCAGGACCCCAUGUGCUUCUUCUUUGUUUCCACAGAACUUCAUAAACACACUAUUAUGUAACUAGUCCACUGUGGUACGUAAUUUUCAAUGUCUAUUAAGCACUGGACUCUUAACUGUUUAAAUGCAGAGGUAAGAUUUUUAUUUUUUUCCCCUCCAAUGCUUUAUACUGUGUUUGACAUAUACUAAGAAAUUGGAUGUUUCCUAAAUAAAUAUUCCAGCCUAAGAA
Long non-coding RNA from Chinchilla lanigera (long-tailed chinchilla), 1596 nucleotides. RefSeq lists it as uncharacterized. The transcript has 2 exons. Lineage: Eukaryota; Metazoa; Chordata; Mammalia; Rodentia; Chinchillidae. The record is from RefSeq and is a predicted model, not a curated record.